Molecule: ribosomal RNA, 118 nt
Filed under: Periophthalmus magnuspinnatus
Lineage: Eukaryota; Metazoa; Chordata; Actinopteri; Gobiiformes; Gobiidae
Source: RNAcentral
UGAUGUGGCCAGACCGGCUCGUCAAAGUCUGAUCUCGUCAAAUCUCAGAAGCUAAGCAGGGCUGGGCCUGGUUAGUACUUGCAUUGGAGACCGCAGGGAACAUUAGGUGCCACAUUGG